AGUGAACGCUGGCGGUAGGCCUAACACAUGCAAGUCGAACGGCAGCACAGUAAGAGCUUGCUCUUACGGGUGGCGAGUGGCGGACGGGUGAGGAAUACAUCGGAAUCUACUUUUUCGUGGGGGAUAACGUAGGGAAACUUACGCUAAUACCGCAUACGACCUACGGGUGAAAGCAGGGGAUCUUCGGACCUUGCGCGAUUGAAUGAGCCGAUGUCGGAUUAGCUAGUUGGCGGGGUAAAGGCCCACCAAGGCGACGAUCCGUAGCUGGUCUGAGAGGAUGAACCGCCAACACUGGAACUGGGAAACGGCCCGGCUCCUAACGGGAGGCGCAGUGGGGAAUAUUGGACAAUGGGCGCAAGCCUGAUCCAGCCAUACCGCGUGGGUGAAGAAGGCCUUCGGGUUGUAAAGCCCUUUUGUUGGGAAAGAAAAGCAGCAGGUUAAUACCCCGCUGUUCUGACGGUACCCAAAGAAUAAGCACCGGCUAACUUCGUG
This 492-nucleotide ribosomal RNA is filed under the name uncultured bacterium. RNAcentral's name for it is "partial 16S ribosomal RNA". It matches the Rfam family "Bacterial small subunit ribosomal RNA", at positions 29 to 507 of the family's 1533-position model. The record is from RNAcentral.